Molecule: transfer RNA, 73 nt
Filed under: Stegodyphus mimosarum
Lineage: Eukaryota; Metazoa; Arthropoda; Arachnida; Araneae; Eresidae
Rfam family: tRNA
About the family: Transfer RNA (tRNA) molecules are approximately 80 nucleotides in length. Their secondary structure includes four short double-helical elements and three loops (D, anti-codon, and T loops).
Source: Rfam by way of RNAcentral
GACUUCGUAGUGUAAUUGUCAACACACUCGGCGCGUAUUCGAGUGGUCCGUGGUUCGAGUCCCUGCGAGGGUA